RNAcentral lists this ribosomal RNA (25 nucleotides) under Trichoderma cf. harzianum LA-2012. RNAcentral's name for it is "partial 18S ribosomal RNA". Lineage: Eukaryota; Fungi; Ascomycota; Sordariomycetes; Hypocreales; Hypocreaceae. The record is from RNAcentral.
CCUUCGGGCGACGCGGAGGACAUUA